RNAcentral lists this non-coding RNA (22 nucleotides) under Arabidopsis thaliana (thale cress). Lineage: Eukaryota; Viridiplantae; Streptophyta; Magnoliopsida; Brassicales; Brassicaceae. The record is from RNAcentral.
CGAUCAGAUGUUUACAUGUGUC